Molecule: long non-coding RNA, 199 nt
Organism: Saccostrea cuccullata (small rock oyster)
Lineage: Eukaryota; Metazoa; Mollusca; Bivalvia; Ostreida; Ostreidae
Exons: 3
Source: RefSeq, a predicted model, not a curated record
UCAAUUAAGUAAUAUGAAUACCGAUUCUCUAAACGAAGAAGUACAUUUUCGAAAAAGGGUCAACAAAACUAAAAAGAAAGACAGCCAAACAAGUGGAAAAAAUGAAUUUGGUUCGAAUGCACGAGAGGAAGGAGCGCAAGAAUAUAUACAACUAUUUCCGAAACAAAACUCUGCUAUAACUCUAACUGAUACUUACAGC